GCCAGUGUAGCUUAGUGGUUUGAGUGUUGGACUGCAACUCUGGAGAUCAGGGUUUCAUUCCCAGCUCAGCCA
This 72-nucleotide transfer RNA is filed under the name Phrynosoma platyrhinos (Desert horned lizard). RNAcentral describes it as "tRNA-OTHER". It matches the Rfam family "tRNA". From Rfam's summary of the family: Transfer RNA (tRNA) molecules are approximately 80 nucleotides in length. Their secondary structure includes four short double-helical elements and three loops (D, anti-codon, and T loops). The record is from RNAcentral. Lineage: Eukaryota; Metazoa; Chordata; Lepidosauria; Squamata; Phrynosomatidae.